This is a small nuclear RNA of Hippopotamus amphibius kiboko, 168 nucleotides long. RefSeq annotates it as U1 spliceosomal RNA. The transcript has a single exon. Lineage: Eukaryota; Metazoa; Chordata; Mammalia; Artiodactyla; Hippopotamidae. The record is from RefSeq and is a predicted model, not a curated record.
GUAGUACAGGCACCGGGGAGAUCCCAUGAUCAGGAAGAUGGUUUUCCAAAAAAAAAAAAGGCUUAUCCAUUGCACUCCGGAUGUACUGAGCCCUUUGAUUUCUCCAAAUUUAGGAAACUCGACUGCACAAUUUGUGGUAAUGGGGGACAGUGUUUGCACACUCUCCUG